This 681-nucleotide ribosomal RNA is filed under the name Salmonella enterica subsp. enterica serovar Typhimurium. RNAcentral describes it as "bacterial SSU rRNA". It matches the Rfam family "Bacterial small subunit ribosomal RNA", at positions 1 to 671 of the family's 1533-position model. The record is from RNAcentral. Lineage: Bacteria; Pseudomonadati; Pseudomonadota; Gammaproteobacteria; Enterobacterales; Enterobacteriaceae.
AAAUUGAAGAGUUUGAUCAUGGCUCAGAUUGAACGCUGGCGGCAGGCCUAACACAUGCAAGUCGAACGGUAACAGGAAGCAGCUUGCUGCUUCGCUGACGAGUGGCGGACGGGUGAGUAAUGUCUGGGAAACUGCCUGAUGGAGGGGGAUAACUACUGGAAACGGUGGCUAAUACCGCAUAACGUCGCAAGACCAAAGAGGGGGACCUUCGGGCCUCUUGCCAUCAGAUGUGCCCAGAUGGGAUUAGCUUGUUGGUGAGGUAACGGCUCACCAAGGCGACGAUCCCUAGCUGGUCUGAGAGGAUGACCAGCCACACUGGAACUGAGACACGGUCCAGACUCCUACGGGAGGCAGCAGUGGGGAAUAUUGCACAAUGGGCGCAAGCCUGAUGCAGCCAUGCCGCGUGUAUGAAGAAGGCCUUCGGGUUGUAAAGUACUUUCAGCGGGGAGGAAGGUGUUGUGGUUAAUAACCGCAGCAAUUGACGUUACCCGCAGAAGAAGCACCGGCUAACUCCGUGCCAGCAGCCGCGGUAAUACGGAGGGUGCAAGCGUUAAUCGGAAUUACUGGGCGUAAAGCGCACGCAGGCGGUCUGUCAAGUCGGAUGUGAAAUCCCCGGGCUCAACCUGGGAACUGCAUUCGAAACUGGCAGGCUUGAGUCUUGUAGAGGGGGGUAGAAUUCCA